Molecule: ribosomal RNA, 118 nt
Filed under: Scophthalmus maximus (turbot)
Lineage: Eukaryota; Metazoa; Chordata; Actinopteri; Pleuronectiformes; Scophthalmidae
Source: RNAcentral
GCUCACGGCCACACAGCCUGGUUCAUCCUGAUCUCAUUUGAUCUCGGAAGCUAAGAUAGGUUGGGCCUGGUUAGUACUUGGAUGGGAGACCGUCUGGGAAUACCAGGUGCUGUAUGCU